This 543-nucleotide ribosomal RNA is filed under the name uncultured crenarchaeote. Its description in RNAcentral is "bacterial SSU rRNA". It matches the Rfam family "Archaeal small subunit ribosomal RNA", at positions 319 to 865 of the family's 1478-position model. The record is from RNAcentral. Lineage: Archaea; Thermoproteati; Thermoproteota.
GGCCUAUGGGGCGCAGCAGGCGCGAAACCUCUGCAAUAGGCGAAAGCUUGACAGGGUUACUCUGAGUGAUUUCCGUUAAGGAGAUCUUUUGGCACCUCUAAAAAUGGUGCAGAAUAAGGGGUGGGCAAGUCUGGUGUCAGCCGCCGCGGUAAUACCAGCACCCCGAGUGGUCGGGACGUUUAUUGGGCCUAAAGCAUCCGUAGCCGGUUCUACAAGUCUUCCGUUAAAUCCACCUGCUUAACAGAUGGGCUGCGGAAGAUACUAUAGAGCUAGGAGGCGGGAGAGGCAAGCGGUACUCGAUGGGUAGGGGUAAAAUCCGUUGAUCCAUUGAAGACCACCAGUGGCGAAGGCGGCUUGCCAGAACGCGCUCGACGGUGAGGGAUGAAAGCUGGGGGAGCAAACCGGAUUAGAUACCCGGGUAGUCCCAGCUGUAAACGAUGCAGACUCGGUGAUGAGUUGGCUUAUUGCUAACUCAGUGCCGCAGGGAAGCCGUUAAGUUUGCCGCCUGGGGGGUACGGUCGCAAGACUGAAACUUAAAGGAAU